CCUACGGGAGGCAGCAGUGGGGGAUAUUGCACAAUGGGGGGAACCCUGAUGCAGCGACGCCGCGUGGGUGAAGAAGCGCCUCGGCGCGUAAAGCCCUGUCAGCAGGGAAGAAAAUGACGGUACCUGAAGAAGAAGCCCCGGCUAACUACGUGCCAGCAGCCGCGGUAAUACGUAGGGGGCAAGCGUUAUCCGGAUUUACUGGGUGUAAAGGGGGCGCAGGCGGGGAUGCAAGCCAGGAGGGAAAGCCCGGGGGCCAACCCCGGGACUGCUCUUGGAACUGCGUGGCUGGAGUGCAGGAGGGGCAGGCGGAAUUCGUGGUGUAGCGGUGAAAUGCGUAGAUAUCAGGAGGAACACCGGUGGCGAAGGCGGCCUGCUGGACUGCAACUGACGUUGAGGCCCGAAAGCGUGGGGAGCAAACAGGAUUAGAUACCCCUGUAGUC
This 440-nucleotide ribosomal RNA is filed under the name uncultured bacterium. Its description in RNAcentral is "partial 16S ribosomal RNA". It matches the Rfam family "Bacterial small subunit ribosomal RNA", at positions 338 to 795 of the family's 1533-position model. The record is from RNAcentral.